AGUGGACUAACUACAUGCAAGGGC
RNAcentral lists this non-coding RNA (24 nucleotides) under Arabidopsis thaliana (thale cress). The record is from RNAcentral. Lineage: Eukaryota; Viridiplantae; Streptophyta; Magnoliopsida; Brassicales; Brassicaceae.